Rana temporaria (common frog) is the source of this 2865-nucleotide long non-coding RNA. RefSeq lists it as uncharacterized. NCBI's taxonomy places the organism in Eukaryota, Metazoa, Chordata, Amphibia, Anura, Ranidae. The record is from RefSeq and is a predicted model, not a curated record. The transcript has 2 exons.
GGGGGGGGGGGGGGGUUCAUCUUCGCUUCAAUAAUGCACUAUAGGAGCUCUUGUUAAGGAAGGAAAUGGGAGCAUAAGUUGUGAUGAUCGAUGGGUACUGGCUGUUCUCCCAUUCAGAGAGUUGGAGCUCCUUGUUUUUAAAAGCAAUAUUCUUAGGGCCAAAUUCUAGAUAUGUAAAGCCAAAAAGUUUAGGAUGGAGUCAGGGUCGCCAUCAGGGAGGUACAGCCGUUGCACAUGUAAGGGGCCCUCGUGUCAAUGGGGCCCAUGCAAGGGAGGGUGGAGGGGUGGGACGGAUCUCACGUGUGUGCGGUGGUGGGAGGUCAGGUGCCAGGUCAGUGGACCCCAUGGAGGAGGACAUCGGGGGGCAGGCCUAAAGCUGUGUAAGGGGCUCCACAAUUUCUGAUGGCUGCCCUGGAUUGAGUAGGGAAGGGUUAGGACCCCUGUGAGUGUUUUUAUUUCUUUUGGGAAUUUUACCUUUUACUUCCUGUCCAAGUGACACAGCAGGAACUAACAGGAAAUCUCUCUAAAGUGAGGGUUGUCCAGAACAGAUUGAUUUCCCCUCUUCUGUGACCACUCAAAAAAAAAAUUGGAUUUCCUGUCACUUUCUCUACCGGAGGCAAUGGCCUUCAAGACCAUUAAUAACCAGUAUUGCUAUGUGCAUCAGAAAUAUGAGGGAUUCUAACACCUGUACUAAACUCCAUCCUAAAGUAAUAGAACGUUUUUGGCUUUACGUGUCGAGUAUGAAGGAAAAACUAAAAAUACAGAGAAAUGUUUGAUGGAUUCACUGGAGCGAAUAUCAUGUUUUGCAGUUUCUCCAUUGGAAAUUAUUUUCUUUCCUAGCAAAAGCUGAAUGUUUUUCACUGGUAGAUUUACAUUGAAGACAUUUCUCUGUAAUUUAGGAUGAAUUAAUUAUCUACAAGAUAACUGACACUGUUCAAUGUGAAUUGCACCCACGUGGGGUUUGAUCGAUGUCUGGGCAACUUCUGCUACUUCCACUGUGAGGAGCACUGCUAUAAUAGUGUAAAGGCAGGCUUCCUAUGAGCAGUGCUAGGGAAACCCUUCUUUUGUUUUAUUUUAUGUAUUUUUUUUAAAUGAUGUGACCACUAGUUUGUAGAAACCUGACCAUUACACCUAUAUGGGCUUUUUGGAUAUCUCCUAAACCAUGCCCUCCCCAACCCUCUAUUCCAAUUUACAGCUAUCCCAACCACCACUCUUCUGGGAAAGCUUCCAUAAGAUUUUAGAGCGAGUCUGGUCUGGUGAGGUCAAGUACUGAUGUUGGAUGACCACAUCUGGCUUAAACAUGGUGUUCAAAUUCAUCACAAAGGUCCUCAGUAGGGUUGAGGGAUCUGCAUAACACUUAAGUUCCUCCACACUAAACUGGUCAAGCCAGGUCUUUACGAAGCUGGCUUUGUAUGCAGACGACUUGGCUUGCAAUUGUCAUUCUAAUUUACCCUAAAGGUGUUCAGUAGUGGGCUUCAGGUCAGGGUUCUGUGCAUGACACUCGUGUUCCUCCACACCAAACUGGUUAAAACAUGUCCUUAUGGAGCUGGCUUGGUACUAAGAAGACCUGGCUUGCAAUUGGUGUUACAGCAGUUGUAUUCUUUGUAGUUGAGGUCAAGCCUCUGUAUAGGCAACUCGUGGUUCUUCUAAUCAUACUGGUCAAACCAGGUCUUUACAAAGCUGGCUUUGUAUGCAAGAGACUUGGCUUGCAAUUGGCAAUCAAAUUCACCCCAAAGGUGUUCAGUAGUAGGGUUCAAGUCAGGGUUCUGUGUAGACCACUUGAGUUCAGGUCUUUAUGGAACUGGCUUUGUAUGCAGAAGACUUGGCUUGCAAUUGUCAUUCCAAUUCACCCCAGAGGUGUUCAGUAGAGUAGGCUUCAGGUCAGGGUUCUGUGUAGACCACUCGAGUUCCUCCACACCAAACUGGUCAAGCCAAGUCUUUGUGGAACUGGCUUUGUAUGCAGAAGACUUGACUUGCAAUUGUCAUUCCAAUUCACCCCAAAGGUAAUCAGUAGAGUAGGCUUCAGGUCAGGGUUCUGUGUAGACCACUCGAGUUCCUUCACAGAAAACCAGUCAAACCGUGUCUUUACAGAGCUGGCUUUGUAUCCAGGGGCACAGUUAUUGUAACCAAAAAGUUUAAUUUUUGUCACCAAUCUGUCAGCAUUAGGUUGGAAGAGCACAUUUGUCAUAAUACCAACGCCCUUCCCUGGAAAAUACCUGAACACUAUCAUUUUGAGGGGAUGUUAACAAGUAGGUGUAAAGGUCGGGUUUCUACAGAUUUUUAGCACAUGUGAACAGAAUCUCUAAACUUCACCAUCCUGUGAAGUCGCUCCAUCGCUACAAGAACUAGGAUUUUGCUGUCCUGUCGUUGUCCCUUUUUGCUAAUGAUUAAGUUUAAGAACCCUUAGAUGUGAAUUCAAAUGCAGGACACUACUUCAAUUAUGGGUACAAGAUUGUAAGAUAUGACUUUUGUUUUUGUUUUGUUUUUUUUGUUUUUUUUUGUUUUCCUUUUUGCCUGUAUAAUUAGGUCAACUUUCUUUCUAAAUAUUUUUUUUUCUUUUUUUUAAUGUAAUAUGUGUGAAUCUUAUGCUGCUCAAACCAGCCUUUGCGAACUAUGGACACGGAGUUGUAGAGGAACUACAAGAUUCGGCUUGCACUGCGUUGGCCUUUUAACAGCUCCGUGGCCAACAUUUGCAAAAGCUGUGUGUAUUUUUAUUUUAUUUUAUUUUGUAUUUUAAUUAAAUUAAAUCUUACCUGGGUUCUUACAGAGAUGGUAGAGAACUUGGUAUAAUAAAUAUCAGGGGGUGACUGAUCGGCUCCAUCAAUCAUAUCAAAGGGCUUUGGUUUCCCCAAAAGUUUUCUCGUA